RNAcentral lists this unclassified non-coding RNA (332 nucleotides) under soil metagenome. RNAcentral describes it as "partial contains 5.8S ribosomal RNA, internal transcribed spacer 2, and large subunit ribosomal RNA". The stretch from base 1 to 120 matches the Rfam family "5.8S ribosomal RNA", at positions 35 to 154 of the family's 154-position model. The record is from RNAcentral.
GAUGAAGAACGUAGCAAAAUGCGAUAAGUAAUGUGAAUUGCAGAAUUCAGUGAAUCAUCGAAUCUUUGAACGCACAUUGCGCCCGCCAGUAUUCUGGCGGGCAUGCCUGUUCGAGCGUCAUUUCAACCCUCAAGCUCAGCUUGGUGUUGGGACUCGCGGUAACCCGCGUUCCCCAAAUCGAUUGGCGGUCACGUCGAGCUUCCAUAGCGUAGUAAUCAUACACCUCGUUACUGGUAAUCGUCGCGGCCACGCCGUAAAACCCCAACUUCUGAAUGUUGACCUCGGAUCAGGUAGGAAUACCCGCUGAACUUAAGCAUAUCAAAAGCGGAGGA